Molecule: ribosomal RNA, 2123 nt
Filed under: Hyphomicrobiaceae bacterium
Lineage: Bacteria; Pseudomonadati; Pseudomonadota; Alphaproteobacteria; Hyphomicrobiales; Hyphomicrobiaceae
Description: partial 23S ribosomal RNA
Rfam family: Bacterial large subunit ribosomal RNA
Source: RNAcentral
CAUCAAGAUAGUAAGGGCACAUGGUGGAUGCCUUGGCACCAAGAGGCGAUGAAGGACGUGAACGGCUGCGAUAAGCCACGGGGAAGCGCUGAAUAGCUAGUGAUCCGUGGAUUUCCUAAUGGGGGAACCCAGCGUUGUUAAACCGACGUUACUCCCGCCUGAAUAUAUAGGGCGGGUAGAGCCAAGCAGGGGAAGUGAAACAUCUCAGUACCCUGAGGAAAGUAAAUCAAACGAGACUCCCCAAGUAGUGGCGAGCGAACGGGGAAGAGCCCAAACCGAGGUAUGUGUAAGCGGUCAUGCGUUGCAUAUCCGGUGUUGUAGGGCAGUGAGUCCUGGUUGUGACCGACCAGGCUGGAGUUACAAAGUUCGUACAUAACCGAAGCGCUUGGAACUGCGCACCAUAGAGGGCAAUCGUCCCGUAGGUGAAAUGUAUGGAUCUCCAGUCGCUGUUCCUGAGUAAGUCCAUGCUCGUGAAACGUGGACUGAAUCUGGGGGGACCACCCUCCAAGGCUAAGUACUCCUUGGUGACCGAUAGCGCACUAGUACUGUGAAGGAAAGGUGAAAAGUACCCCGGGAGGGGAGUGAAAUAGUACCUGAAACCAUGUGCCUACAAGCGGUCGGAGCUCCUUUGGGGGUGACGGCGUGCUUUUUGCAUAACGAGCCAGCGAGUUGCUCGUCUGCGGCAAGGUUAAGCGAUGAGCGGAGCCGGAGCGAAAGCGAGUCCUAAUAGGGCGAUCAUCUAGUCGUAGGCGGCAGACCCGAAACUGAGUGAGCUACCCAUGGGCAGGUUGAAGCGAGGGUAAGACCUCGUGGAGGACCGAACGCACCUAGGUUGAAAACUGGGGCGAUGACCUGUGGGUCGGAGUGAAAGGCUAAUCAAACUCAGUGAUAUCUGGUUCUCUCCGAAAUAUAUUUAGGUAUAGCCUCGGAUAACAUGCGUUAUGGCCGUAGAGCACUGUUUGGGCGCGGGGUCUUACCAGAUUACCAAACUCAGGCAAACUCCGAAGACCAUUUACGUGUACUCCGGGAGUCAGUUGCUGGGGGAUAAACUUCAGCGUCAAAAGGGAAACAGCCCAGACCGCCAGCUAAGGUCCCUAAGUGUUAACUAAGUGGCAAACGAUGUUCGAGUGCACAGACAACCAGGAGGUUGGCUUAGAGGCAGCCACCCUUUAAAGAGUGCGUAAUAGCUCACUGGUCUAGUGCUCGAGCGCGGAUAAUGUAACGGGGCUCAAGUUAACCACCGAAGCUGCGGGUUCACACUUUUGUGUGAGCGGUAGGAGAGCGUUCGCUAUAGGUUGAAGCGGCAGCGGAAGCUCGCCGUGGACAGUAGUGAAGUGAGAAUGCUGGCAUGAGUAACGAAAGACAGGUGAGAAUCCUGUCCACCGAUUAUCUAAGGUUUCCUGGGCAACGUUCGUCGGCUCAGGGUUAGUCGGGACCUAAGGCGAGGCCGCAAGGCGUAGUCGAUGGCCAACAGGUUGAUAUUCCUGUACCACGUAGUAAUCGUUAUGACCGAUAGGGGGGACGAGGAAGGCUAGAGCAUCUCCGGCGUUGGUUGUCCGGGGACAAGCGUGUAGGAGGGACCGCGAUAAAUGCACGGUCCCAUUAAUCCGAGACGUGAUGUGAGGAGGCUUUCGAGCCUCCAACUGCUUGACGCCAUGCCUCCAAGAAAAGCCUCGUAGGCAGAUUACGCGUGCCCGUACCAAAACCGACACAGGUGGAUAAGUAGAGAAUACUAAGGUGAUCGAGAUAACCCUCGUUAAGGAACUCGGCAAAAUGGCUCCGUAACUUCGGGAUAAGGAGCGCCCUAUUAGAGUGAAGCCACUUGCUGGUGGAGCUCGAGGGGGCCGCAGUGAAAAGGUCCAAGCGACUGUUUACCAAAAACACAGGUCUCUGCUAAGUCGUAAGACGACGUAUAGGGGCUGACGCCUGCCCGGUGCCGGAAGGUUACGUGGAGAUGUUAGGUUCGCCGAAGCAUCGAAACUAAGCCCCGGUAAACGGCGGCCGUAACUAUAACGGUCCUAAGGUAGCGAAAUUCCUUGUCGGGUAAGUUCCGACCUGCACGAAUGGCGUAACGACUUGGACGCUGUCUCAACGAGGGGCUCGGUGAAAUUGCAGUCUCGGUG